CCUGGUUGAUCCUAUCAGAACCAUAUGCUUGUCUCAAAGAUUAAGCCAUACAUGUCUAAGUACGCAGGGCUGGUACAGUAAAACUGCGAAUGGCUCAUUAAAUCAGUUAUGGUUCUUUUGGUCGCUGGCUCCUCUCCUACUUGGAAAACUGUGGUAAUUCUAGAGCUAUUACAUGCCGAAGGGCACUGACCCCCUUCACAGGGAAGAUGCGUGCAUUUAUCAGAUCAAAACCAACCCAGUCAGCCCCUCUCCGUCCCCGGCCGGGGGGUCGGGUGCCGCCAGCUUUGGUGCUUCUGGAUAACCUCGGGCCAAUCGCACGCCCCCCGUGGCAGCGAUGACCCAUUCGAAUGUCUGCCCUAUCAACUUUCUAUGGUAGUCGCUGUGCCUAUCAUGGUGACCACGGGUGACAGGGAAUCAGGGUUCAAUUCUGGAGAAGGAGCCUGAGAAAUGGCUACCACAUUCAAGGAAGGCAGCAGACACUCAAAUUACCCACUCCUGACACGGGGAGGUAGUGACGAAAAAUAACAAUACAGGACUCUUUCUAGGCCCUGUAAUUGGAAUGAGUGCACUUUAAAUCUUUUAAUGAGGAUCAAUUGGAGGGCAAGUCUGGUGCCAGCAGCCGUGGUAAUUCCAGCUCCAAUAGCGUAUAUUAAAGUUGUUGCAGUUAAAAAGCUCGUAGUUGAAUCUUGGGAGCGGGUGGGCUAGCGAGCCACAGCCCGUCCCUGCUUCUUGCCUCUCGGUGCCCCCUGGAUGCUCUUAGCUGAGUGUCCUGUGGCCCGAAGCACUUACUUUGAAAAAAUUAGAGUGUUCAAAGCAGGCCCAAGCCGCCUGGAUACUGCAGCUUGGAAUAAUGGAAUAGGACCACAGUUCUAUUUUGUUGGUUUUCGGAACUGAGGCCAUGAUUAAGAGGGACGGCCGGGGGCAUUCAUAUUGCACCGCUAGAGGUGAAAUUCUUGGACUGGCAGUUUAGACCAGAGCGAAAGCAUUUGCCAAGAAUGUUUUCAUUAAUCAAGAACGAAAGUCGGAGGUUCGAAGACGAUCAGAUACCGUUGUAAUUCCGACCAUAAACGAUGCCAACUGGCGAUGUGGCGGUGUUAUUCCCAUGACCCGCUGGGCAGCUUCCAAGAAACCAGUCUUUGGGUUUUUGGGUUCCGAGGGGAGUAUGGUUGCAAAGCUGAAACUUAAAGGAAUUGACAGAAGGGCACCACCAGGAGUGGAGCCUGCAGCUUAAUUUGACUCAACAUGGGAAAACUCACCCAGCCUGGACACGGACAGGAUUGACAGAUUGAUAGCUCUUUCUCGAUUCCACGGGUGGUGGUGCAUGGCCUUAGUUGCUGGAGUGAUUUGUCUGGCUAAUUCCAAUAACGAACGAGACUCUGGCAUGCCAACUAGUUAUGUGACCCUGGAGCGGUCGGCAUCCCCCAACUUCUUAGAGGGACAAGUGGCGUUCAGCC
RNAcentral lists this ribosomal RNA (1454 nucleotides) under Homo sapiens (human). Its description in RNAcentral is "SSU rRNA". It matches the Rfam family "Eukaryotic small subunit ribosomal RNA", at positions 3 to 1435 of the family's 1831-position model. Lineage: Eukaryota; Metazoa; Chordata; Mammalia; Primates; Hominidae. The record is from RNAcentral.